This 265-nucleotide signal recognition particle RNA is filed under the name Clostridia bacterium. Its description in RNAcentral is "signal recognition particle sRNA large type". It matches the Rfam family "Bacterial large signal recognition particle RNA". Rfam says of the family: The signal recognition particle (SRP) is a universally conserved ribonucleoprotein involved in the co-translational targeting of proteins to membranes. The record is from RNAcentral. Lineage: Bacteria; Bacillati; Bacillota; Clostridia.
UUACGCUAAGCGGGAGAGUAGCGGUCUCUUGUACCUGAAAUCCGCUAUAGCAGGGCUGAAUGCUUAUUUAAGGCUUUGGUUUUUAGUACAGAAUACUCAGUUUUCUAUGUUGACAGUUUAAGUCUUGUUCGAUAGAAAACCAUGAACCUCGUCAGGUCCGGAAGGAAGCAGCGAUAAGUGUCAUUUUCUAUGUGCUGCAAGGGUGCUUAUUCCGAGUAGUACUGUUUAUUGCUGCUAAGAAUUACUGUCGAGGAUAAGUGCGUAA